Molecule: ribosomal RNA, 486 nt
Filed under: uncultured bacterium
Lineage: Bacteria
Description: partial 16S ribosomal RNA
Rfam family: Bacterial small subunit ribosomal RNA
Source: RNAcentral
AUUGAACGCUGGCGGCAUGCCUUACACAUGCAAGUCGAACGGCAGCACGGGUGCUUGCCCCUGGUGGCGAGUGGCGAACGGGUGAGUAAUACAUCGGAACAUGUCCUGUAGUGGGGGAUAGCCCGGCGAAAGCCGGAUUAAUACCGCAUACGAUCUACGGAUGAAAGCGGGGGACCUUCGGGCCUCGCGCUAUAGGGUUGGCCGAUGGCUGAUUAGCUAGUUGGUGGGGUAAAGGCCUACCAAGGCGACGAUCAGUAGCUGGUCUGAGAGGACGACCUGCCACACUGGGACUGAGACACGGCCCAGACUCCUACGGGAGGCAGCAGUGGGGAAUUUUGGACAAUGGGCGAAAGCCUGAUCCAGCAAUGCCGCGUGUGUGAAGAAGGCCUUCGGGUUGUAAAGCACUUUUGUCCGGAAAGAAAUCCUUGGCCCUAAUACGGUCGGGGGAUGACGGUACCGGAAGAAUAAGCACCGGCUAACUACGUG